UUUGAUCUGGCUCAGAUUGAACGCUGGCGGCAGGCCUAACACAUUCAACCCCAGCGGAUGAAGGGAGCUUGCUCCCGGAUUCANCGGCGGGCGGGUGAGUAAUGCCUAGGAAUCUGCCUGGUAGUGGGGGACAACGUUCCGAAAGGAGCGCUAAUACCGCAUACGUCCUACGGGAGAAAGUGGGGGAUCUUCGGACCUCACGCUAUCAGAUGAGCCUAGGUCGGAUUAGCUAGUAGGUGGGGUAAUGGCUCACCUAGGCGACGAUCCGUAACUGGUCUGAGAGGAUGAUCAGUCACACUGGAACUGAGACACGGUCCAGACUCCUACGGGAGGCAGCAGUGGGGAAUAUUGGACAAUGGGCGAAAGCCUGAUCCAGCCAUGCCGCGUGUGUGAAGAAGGUCUUCGGAUUGUAAAGCACUUUAAGUUGGGAGGAA
This 434-nucleotide ribosomal RNA is filed under the name uncultured Pseudomonas sp. Its description in RNAcentral is "bacterial SSU rRNA". It matches the Rfam family "Bacterial small subunit ribosomal RNA", at positions 12 to 449 of the family's 1533-position model. The record is from RNAcentral. Lineage: Bacteria; Pseudomonadati; Pseudomonadota; Gammaproteobacteria; Pseudomonadales; Pseudomonadaceae.